UGUGUCUAAAACAUACCUAGG
This 21-nucleotide non-coding RNA is filed under the name Caenorhabditis elegans. Lineage: Eukaryota; Metazoa; Nematoda; Chromadorea; Rhabditida; Rhabditidae. The record is from RNAcentral.